Molecule: ribosomal RNA, 462 nt
Filed under: uncultured bacterium
Lineage: Bacteria
Description: partial 16S ribosomal RNA
Rfam family: Bacterial small subunit ribosomal RNA
Source: RNAcentral
AGUGAACGCUGGCGGCGUGCCUAAUACAUGCAAGUCGAACGGAGAUUCAGUAGCUUGCUAUUUAAUCUUAGUGGCGCACGGGUGAGUAAUAUAUAGCUAACUUGCCCAUUACUAAGGGACAACAGUUGGAAACGACUGCUAAUACCUUAUACUCCGUAUCUAUAUAAGUAGAUACGGGAAAGUUUUUCGGUAAUGGAUAGGGCUAUAUCGUAUCAGCUAGUUGGUAAGGCAAUGGCUUACCAAGGCUAUGACGCGUAACUGGUCUGAGAGGAUGAUCAGUCACACUGGAACUGAGACACGGUCCAGACUCCUACGGGAGGCAGCAGUAGGGAAUAUUGCUCAAUGGGGGAAACCCUGAAGCAGCAACGCCGCGUGGAGGAUGACACUUUUCGGAGCGUAAACUCCUUUUCUUGGGAAAGAAUUAUGACGGUACCCAAGGAAUAAGCACCGGCUAACUCCGUG